UUGUCUUCUAUUCGCAGAUCAAACAAUGGUUCAUCAUCAUAUGAAGGCGAAAGCCCUGGUUGGUCAUCAGCUUGCAGCGAAAGCGCUGGUUGAUCAUCAUGUGGUGGAGAGGGUGGAUGUUGCUUAAACGAAGAAGGACUAGGUGGAGGACCUGGAAUCCUAAGUAUAGGUUUCGGAAACCCUGGUUGGUCAUCAUGUGGUGGAGAGGGUGGAUGUUGCUUAAGCGAAGAAGGACUAGGAGGAGGACCUAGAAUCCUAAGUAUAGGUUUCGGAAACCAAAACCUAGAAGGACUAGCAGGACGUGGAAUCCUAAGUAUAGGUUUCGGAAACUGAAACCUAGAAAGACUGGGAGGAGGACGUGGAAUCCUAAGUGUAGGUUUCGAAAACCCUGGUUGGUCAUCAUGUGGUGGAGAGGGUGGAUGCUGCUUAAGCGAAGAAGGACUAGGAGGAGGACCUGGAAUCCUAAGUAUAGAUUUCGGAAACCAAAACCUAGAAGGACUAGGAGAAGGACGUGGAAUCCUAAGUAUUGGUUUCGGAAACUGAAACCUAGAAGGACUGGGGGGAGGACGUGGAAUCCUAAGUAUAGGUUUCGGAAACCCUGGUUGGUCAUCAUGUGGUGGAGAGGGUGGACGAUGCUUAAGCGAAGAAGGACUAGGAGGAGGACCUGGAAUCCUAAGUAUAGGUUUCGGAAACUGAAACCUCAAAGGACUGGGAGGAGGACGCGGAAUCCUAAGUAUAGGUUUCGGAAACUGAAACCUAAAAUGAUGAGGAAGAGUUGGAUCAGAUGAAUUUUCAUCGACUUGAUCUCCAUGAAUGAGCUCAAAGGAUGAGGCAACUGCUAAAACUGAAACUAGUAAGAGGAUUUUCGCUGAUAUAACUGCCAUA
This 885-nucleotide long non-coding RNA is filed under the name Capsicum annuum. Its description in RNAcentral is "long non-coding RNA (CANN_LNC003463)". The record is from RNAcentral. Lineage: Eukaryota; Viridiplantae; Streptophyta; Magnoliopsida; Solanales; Solanaceae.